GACGAACGCUGGCGGCGUGCUUAACACAUGCAAGUCGAACGGUGAAGCGAGUGCUUGCACUCGUGGAUCAGUGGCGAACGGGUGAGUAACACGUGAGUAACCUGCCCAUCACUCUGGGAUAAGCACUGGAAACGGUGUCUAAUACUGGAUACGACCAACCCUUGCAUGGGGUGUUGGUGGAAAGAUUUAUCGGUGAUGGAUGGACUCGCGGCCUAUCAGCUUGUUGGCGGGGUAAUGGCCCACCAAGGCGACGACGGGUAGCCGGCCUGAGAGGGUGACCGGCCACACUGGGACUGAGACACGGCCCAGACUCCUACGGGAGGCAGCAGUGGGGAAUAUUGCACAAUGGGCGAAAGCCUGAUGCAGCGACGCCGCGUGAGGGAUGACGGCCUUCGGGUUGUAAACCUCCUUCAGCAGGGAAGAAGCGAAAGUGACGGUACCUGCAGAAGAAGCACCGGCUAACUACGUG
This 469-nucleotide ribosomal RNA is filed under the name uncultured bacterium. RNAcentral's name for it is "partial 16S ribosomal RNA". It matches the Rfam family "Bacterial small subunit ribosomal RNA", at positions 28 to 507 of the family's 1533-position model. The record is from RNAcentral.